GGUUGGUCCAGGCUUAGGGGUUUUGGAUAUUGCAAGCAUGUACUGUAGUGGAUGGCCCUGCGACGGAGUUUGAUGCGCCUUCCAUGGGUGAAGAGCAGAUCUCCGGGUUAUUCAGGAGGAUGCUGGAAAUGUGGACGGGGCUGUGGGCAGGGCAGAGGGCAGAUCAGCGAGCAGAGCCGAAUGCAGAGCGCACAUCAGCUCCUUCAGGCUCCCCACAUCUCAGCAGUCCACGCUCACAGGAUAAUGCUAACUUGGAGACGCAGACGUCUGAGCAGAUGUUCCUAAAGGACACGGUCCGCAUCUUCACGUGGAGCAAGGCCUGUUGUGUGCAUCACGUCUCGAGCGUGCCGGAGGAUGAGGAGACGGAGAACAGGCCGGAGCAAACAGAAAACGACAUGCCCCAGCUGCUGCUCCAGGACAGGCCGGACCUCACGAUGGAUGCCAUGAUGGAUGCUGCAACAAGAAGCAUGACGGAUAUGAUGACAGACACUGACAUCCAGUUUGACUUCCCUAAAGAGAACUAGGAGGUCUCUGUUCUCCUCCCCUUUCCCAGCUGUGUCUGAAGCUGUUUCCACCUCUCCAGAACCGAUCUGCCCCAGGAAAUAAAAGGUUUCGU
This is a long non-coding RNA of Gallus gallus (chicken), 616 nucleotides long. The record is from Ensembl. NCBI's taxonomy places the organism in Eukaryota, Metazoa, Chordata, Aves, Galliformes, Phasianidae.